RNAcentral lists this long non-coding RNA (584 nucleotides) under Marmota monax (woodchuck). Lineage: Eukaryota; Metazoa; Chordata; Mammalia; Rodentia; Sciuridae. The record is from RNAcentral.
CUUGGAGUGAGGGUACUGAGGAUUGAACCCAGGUGUGCUUAACCACUGAGCCCACAUCUCCAGCUCUUUUUAUGUUUUAGGUUGAGACAAGAUCUUACUAAGUUGCUUCAGAUUCACUAAAUUGCUGCUCCUGAACUUGUGAUCCUCCUGCCUUAGAGAGGAAUCUUGCUAAAAUUGUUCAGGUUGGCCCAGAAAUUGGCAGUCUCCCUACCCUUACUUAGCCUUCAGAGUCACUGGGAUUAUAGGCACGCUCCACCACAUUCCCUGAAGGGUUUUUGUCACAUAGUCAUAACUGGGAUUUGGGCUGGGUGUGGUAGUUCACCAUUAUAUUCCAGCUACUCUAGAGGCUGAGACAGGAGGAUUGCAAAUUGGAAGGCAGAGUGGUCAAUUUAGCAAGACCCUGUCUCAAAAAUAUUUGAGCCAGGCAUGGUGGUACACCUCUAUAAUCCCGUUGACUUGGGAAGCUGAAGAUCACAAGUUCAAAAGCAGUGUCUGCAAUUUGUCAAAGCUUAAGCAAUUUGUUGAGACCAUGUCAAAAGAAAAAUGGGCUGGGGCCAAUCCCUGGUAUUGCAUAAAAAUAAAAA